This 440-nucleotide ribosomal RNA is filed under the name uncultured bacterium. RNAcentral describes it as "partial 16S ribosomal RNA". It matches the Rfam family "Bacterial small subunit ribosomal RNA", at positions 338 to 795 of the family's 1533-position model. The record is from RNAcentral.
CCUACGGGGGGCAGCAGUGGGGGAUAUUGCACAAUGGGGGAAACCCUGAUGCAGCGACGCCGCGUGUGGGAAGACGGUCCUCUGGAUUGUAAACCACUGUCCCCAGGGACGAAGAUGACGGUACCUGGGGAGGAAGCUCCGGCUAACUACGUGCCAGCAGCCGCGGUAAUACGUAGGGAGCGAGCGUUGUCCGGAAUUACUGGGUGUAAAGGGAGCGUAGGCGGGGAUGCAAGUUGGGUGUCAAAACUACCGGCUCAACUGGUAGGCGCCCUCGAAACUGCAGCGCUUGAGUGAAGUAGAGGCAGGCGGAAUGCCUGGUGUAGCGGUGAAAUGCGUAGAUAUUAGGAGGAACACCGGUGGCGAAGGCAGCCUGCGGGGCUUUUACUGACGCUGAGGCUCGAAAGUGUGGGGAGCAAACAGGAUUAGAUACCCGGGUAGUC